GAGAUCAAAAAGUGGAACGCCGUUUCUCUCUGGGCUUGGGAUAUUGUGGUAGAUAAUUGUGCCAUCUGUAGGAAUCACAUCAUGGAUCUGUGUAUCGAGUGUCAAGCUAAUCAAGCUAGCGCAACAAGUGAGGAAUGCACAGUUGCUUGGGGUGUUUGCAACCAUGCAUUCCACUUCCAUUGCAUUAGCAGGUGGCUCAAGACUCGUCAAGUGUGUCCACUUGAUAACAGCGAGUGGGAGUUUCAGAAGUAUGGUCACUAGAAUUUACUGUUGGUGUACAGUGAAUGAGAGGAGCUUCAAAACUAUGGUCAUUACAGUUUUUCUGUCAUCGACGUUGAAAAGAACAAUUCUGCUGCCUUAUGUUCCUUUCGUUUUUGCUCUGCAAAUAUCCAAAGCAAUGACUCGAACUAUGUUUUUAAUUGUCGCAUGUCUGUUUUAGGUUGCCUCAAAAGAAUGAAA
Molecule: unclassified non-coding RNA, 459 nt
Filed under: Hevea brasiliensis (rubber tree)
Lineage: Eukaryota; Viridiplantae; Streptophyta; Magnoliopsida; Malpighiales; Euphorbiaceae
Source: RNAcentral